GAAGUACUGAGGAAGACUGGAAAAAGUUUUGAAUGUUCACAGGAAGCUUCUGUGAUUAAAGUGGAAAGAUCACCAGGCCUGGAUCACAAGUCUUCUUUUCCUGUUCCUGACAAUGAUGGUUUCACAUUAGGUGGGGAAGAAGAGGGAGACAAGUAAAUCAAAACCACUGAGACCUUCACAGAACUACACAUGCCUUUGUGCCAAGCUAGAGGAGGGAAGGGUAGAGUGUAAAAAGAAAAAAAGCCCUACAGAGUGGGAGCCGUGGACCCUGCACCAAGAGGAGCAGACACACAGGAGGCGGAAGCAGUCCCCGCAGAGGUGAUGGACGUGGCAGAGGGAAAGGCAGCAGUGCUGGCCACUCCCAUGGCUGCUGCUGCUGAGGA
This is a long non-coding RNA of Myotis lucifugus (little brown bat), 383 nucleotides long. RefSeq lists it as uncharacterized. Lineage: Eukaryota; Metazoa; Chordata; Mammalia; Chiroptera; Vespertilionidae. The record is from RefSeq and is a predicted model, not a curated record. The transcript is spliced from 3 exons.